Triticum aestivum (bread wheat) is the source of this 86-nucleotide non-coding RNA. The record is from Rfam. Lineage: Eukaryota; Viridiplantae; Streptophyta; Magnoliopsida; Poales; Poaceae.
GUAUUACUGGGAGUUCCCUUCAAGCACUUUACGUAGCACUUUUUAAAGGUAUUAUGUGAAGUGUUUGGGGGAACUCUUGGUGCAAC